Molecule: ribosomal RNA, 405 nt
Filed under: uncultured bacterium
Lineage: Bacteria
Description: partial 16S ribosomal RNA
Rfam family: Bacterial small subunit ribosomal RNA
Source: RNAcentral
AAUAUUGCACAAUGUGCGCAAGCCUGAUGCAGCAACGCCGCGUGAGGUAUGACGGCCUUCGGGUUGUAAACCUCUUUUAGUAGGGAAGAAGGCUUCGGUUGACGGUACCUGCAGAAAAAGCACCGGCUAACUACGUGCCAGCAGCCGCGGUAAUACGUAGGGUGCAAGCGUUGUCCGGAAUUAUUGGGCGUAAAGAGCUCGUAGGCGGCUUGUCGCGUCUGCCGUGAAAACCUCAGGCUCAACCUGGGGCGUGCGGUGGGUACGGGCAAGCUAGAGUGCGGUAGGGGAGAUUGGAAUUCCUGGUGUAGCGGUGGAAUGCGCAGAUAUCAGGAGGAACACCGAUGGCGAAGGCAGAUCUCUGGGCCGCUACUGACGCUGAGGAGCGAAAGCAUGGGGAGCGAACAG